This 69-nucleotide transfer RNA is filed under the name Photobacterium damselae. RNAcentral describes it as "tRNA-Arg". Lineage: Bacteria; Pseudomonadati; Pseudomonadota; Gammaproteobacteria; Vibrionales; Vibrionaceae. The record is from RNAcentral.
ACAUGAGUCUAUUAAUGAUAAACCCUCCUAAGGGGAAGGCCACUGGUUCGACUCCAGUAGGGAGCGCCA